RNAcentral lists this ribosomal RNA (468 nucleotides) under uncultured bacterium. RNAcentral describes it as "partial 16S ribosomal RNA". It matches the Rfam family "Bacterial small subunit ribosomal RNA", at positions 28 to 507 of the family's 1533-position model. The record is from RNAcentral.
GACGAACGCUGGCGGCGUGCUUAACACAUGCAAGUCGAACGGAAAGGCCCUGCUUUUGUGGGGUGCUCGAGUGGCGAACGGGUGAGUAACACGUGAGUAACCUGCCCUUGACUUUGGGAUAACUUCAGGAAACUGGGGCUAAUACCGGAUAGGAGCUCCUGCUGCAUGGUGGGGGUUGGAAAGUUUCGGCGGUUGGGGAUGGACUCGCGGCUUAUCAGCUUGUUGGUGGGGUAGUGGCUUACCAAGGCUUUGACGGGUAGCCGGCCUGAGAGGGUGACCGGCCACCUUGGGACUGCGAUACGGCCCAGACUCCUACGGGAGGCAGCAGUCGGGAAUAUUGCACAAUGGGCGGAAGCCUGAUGCAGCAACGCCGCGUGCGGGAUGACGGCCUUCGGGUUGUAAACCGCUUUCGCCUGUGACGAAGCGUGAGUGACGGUAAUGGGUAAAGAAGCACCGGCUAACUACGUG